CACGUAUCAACUGCGCUGUUUGCAACAACCAACGGAUCGGCCUCUUCAUCCACUGCGCUCCGCAACAGAAAGUAAAGCAGUUUGAAGAAUUUCAGAAAAAUGAGUGCAUUGGACACAAAGUACUAGCUGCUGAACCGACAGCACCCAGACCAGAAAUUUCAGCACCGCCACCAGAAAUAACCCCUCAAGGACCACCCACAGGACCUCCAGGACCUCCUGAACCUCUAGAAGCAUGAUGGCUCUGUGGUGGUUUAAUGUCAUCUGAAAUACUGUGCUACCUUCCCUUUGCCUGAAUGUACUCUACUAGGGCUGCUUAUUUUCAGUGAUUAAAUGCUUUUCACAAUGA
Conger conger (European conger) is the source of this 346-nucleotide long non-coding RNA. RefSeq lists it as uncharacterized. Lineage: Eukaryota; Metazoa; Chordata; Actinopteri; Anguilliformes; Congridae. The transcript has 2 exons. The record is from RefSeq and is a predicted model, not a curated record.